Molecule: long non-coding RNA, 305 nt
Filed under: Gossypium raimondii (Peruvian cotton)
Lineage: Eukaryota; Viridiplantae; Streptophyta; Magnoliopsida; Malvales; Malvaceae
Description: long non-coding RNA (GRAI_LNC006854)
Source: RNAcentral
UGGUGGGGGUGGGGGUGAAUGAUGUGGCGGUGGAGGUGACUGAUGUGGUGGUGGAGGGGAGUUAUAGUAGUAAGGAACUGGUGGCGGCGGGGAGAACAAUGGAGGGGGUGGAGGUGGUGAAUUUGGUGGUGGAGGUGGGGACCUCACACAAUAUAUUGGCGCAGGUGGUGGGGGUGAAGGGGGCGGUGGUGACGGAUAAGUAGGUGGCGGGGGUGAAGGUGGUGGAGGUGAUGGAUAUGUAGGGGGUGGGGGUGAAGGAGGUGGUGGUGAGGGCGGUGGAGGUGAUGGUGGUGGAGGAGGUGGAG